GGGCCCGCACAAGCGGUGGAGUAUGUGGUUUAAUUCGAUGCAACGCGAAGAACCUUACCAGGGUUUGACAUCCUGCGAAUCUCUUGGAAACAGGAGAGUGCCUUCGGGAACGCAGUGACAGGUGGUGCAUGGCUGUCGUCAGCUCGUGUCGUGAGAUGUUGGGUUAAGUCCCGCAACGAGCGCAACCCACGUCUUUAGUUGCCAGCAUUUAGUUGGGCACUCUAGAGAGACUGCCGGUGAUAAACCGGAGGAAGGUGUGGAUGACGUCAAGUCAUCAUGCCCCUUACAUCCUGGGCUACACACGUACUACAAUGGCACUUACAAUGGGAAGCAAAGAGGUGACUCCUAGCUAAUCCCAAAAAUGUGUCUCAGUUCGGAUUGCACUCUGCAACUCGAGUGCAUGAAGCUGGAAUUGCUAGUAAUCGU
Molecule: ribosomal RNA, 426 nt
Filed under: uncultured bacterium
Lineage: Bacteria
Description: bacterial SSU rRNA
Rfam family: Bacterial small subunit ribosomal RNA
Source: RNAcentral